RNAcentral lists this ribosomal RNA (437 nucleotides) under uncultured bacterium. Its description in RNAcentral is "partial 16S ribosomal RNA". It matches the Rfam family "Bacterial small subunit ribosomal RNA", at positions 28 to 507 of the family's 1533-position model. The record is from RNAcentral.
GAUGAACGCUGGCGGUAUGCUUAACACAUGCAAGUCGGACGGGAAGUGAUGUUUCCAGUGCCGUACGGGGGAGCAACGCGCAAAAAGGUGCGCUAGGGAGGGGAAUAAAAGUUGGAAAGGGGUGCUAAUACCCCGUAGGCUGGGGAGCAAAAGGUGCAACCUGCCGGAGGAUGGGCGCGCGUCUGGUUACCUAGUUGGUCAGGCAAUAGCUUACCAAGGCGGUGAUCAGUAGCGGGUGCGAGAGGAUGACCGGCCAGACUGGUACUGAGGCACGGAGUAGAGACUUACGGGAGACAGGAGUAAGGCAGUUCCAGCAAUGCGGGAUAGCCUAACGGAGCAAUCCGGUGUGAAAGUAGUAGUGUUGCGGAAGGAGAGCUGCUUUUCCCGGAGAAGAAGUAAUGACGGUACCUGAAGAAUAAGCAUCGGCUAACUCUGUG